This is a non-coding RNA of Tursiops truncatus (common bottlenose dolphin), 116 nucleotides long. The record is from Rfam. NCBI's taxonomy places the organism in Eukaryota, Metazoa, Chordata, Mammalia, Artiodactyla, Delphinidae.
GAUUCAGAAUCCAUUUCUAGAGGAGGUAAUAAUGAGGCUAUUGAAAGGAGCGACGAGGACUGUCCUUCUCUCCCAACCUCCCCCCGUCGGUCCCUGUUCUGAAAUUCCCAUUCAGU